CGAUGAAGCCCAGCUUGCUGGGUGGAUUAGUGGCGAACGGGUGAGUAACACGUGAGUAACCUGCCCUUAACUCUGGGAUAAGCCUGGGAAACUAGGUCUAAUACCGGAUAGGAGCGCCUACCGCAUGGUGGGUGUUGGAAAGAUUUAUCGGUUUUGGAUGGACUCGCGGCCUAUCAGCUUGUUGGUGAGGUAAUGGCUCACCAAGGCGACGACGGGUAGCCGGCCUGAGAGGGUGACCGGCCACACUGGGACUGAGACACGGCCCAGACUCCUACGGGAAGCAGCAGUUGGGAAUAUUGCACAAUGGGCGAAAGCCUGAUGCAGCGACGCCGCGUGAGGGAUGACGGCCUUCGGGUUGUAACCUCUUUCAGUAGGGAAGAAGCGAAAGUGACGGUACCUGCAGAUGAAGCACCGGCUAACUACGUGCCAGCAGCCGCGGUAAUACGUAGGGUGCGAGCGUUAUCCGGAAUUAUUGGGCGUAAAGAGCUCGUAGGCGGUUUGUCGCGUCUGUCGUGAAAGUCCGGGGCUUAACCCCGGAUCUGCGGUGGGUACGGGCAGACUAGAGUGCAGUAGGGGAGACUGGAAUUCCUGGUGUAGCGGUGGAAUGCGCAGAUAUCAGGAGGAACACCGAUGGCGAAGGCAGGUCUCUGGGCUGUAACUGACGCUGAGGAGCGAAAGCAUGGCGAGCGAACAGGAUUAGAUACCCUGGUAGUCCAUGCCGUAAACGUUGGGCACUAGGUGUGGGGACCAUUCCACGGUUUCCGCGCCGCAGCUAACGCAUUAAGUGCCCCGCCUGGGGAGUACGGCCGCAAGGCUAAAACUCAAAGGAAUUGACGGGGGCCCGCACAAGCGGCGGAGCAUGCGGAUUAAUUCGAUGCAACGCGAAGAACCUUACCAAGGCUUGACAUGUUCUCGAUCGCCGUAGAGAUACGGUUUCCCCUUGGGGGCGGGUUCACAGGUGGUGCAUGGUUGUCGUCAGCUCGUGUCGUGAGAUGUUGGGUUAAGUCCCGCAACGAGCGCAACCCUCGUUCCAUGUUGCCAGCACGUAAUGGUGGGGACUCAUGGGAGACUGCCGGGGUCAACUCGGAGGAAGGUGAGGACGACGUCAAAUCAUCAUGCCCCUUAUGUCUUGGGCUUCACGCAUGCUACAAUGGCCGGUACAAUGGGUUGCGAUACUGUGAGGUGGAGCUAAUCCCAAAAAGCCGGUCUCAGUUCGGAUUGGGGUCUGCAACUCGACCCCAUGAAGUCGGAGUCGCUAGUAAUCGCAGAUCAGCAACGCUGCGGUGAAUACGUUCCCGGGCCUUGUACACACCGCCCGUCAAGUCACGAAAGUUGGUAACACCCGAAGCCGGUGGC
RNAcentral lists this ribosomal RNA (1356 nucleotides) under Micrococcus luteus. Its description in RNAcentral is "bacterial SSU rRNA". It matches the Rfam family "Bacterial small subunit ribosomal RNA", at positions 67 to 1434 of the family's 1533-position model. Lineage: Bacteria; Bacillati; Actinomycetota; Actinomycetes; Micrococcales; Micrococcaceae. The record is from RNAcentral.